Long non-coding RNA from Anolis carolinensis (green anole), 2599 nucleotides. NCBI's taxonomy places the organism in Eukaryota, Metazoa, Chordata, Lepidosauria, Squamata, Anolidae. The record is from Ensembl.
UUUUCCCAUCAGUACUUCCUGCAUGCAGAAGGACAUAAUUUACAACAUUUAGACUAAUACUUUCCUGUGAGCCAGACAAGACUGUAAUAAUAAUUUCCAUCUUUGGAGAUACACUAAAGCCGUGAGUCAGCUUUCCCAUCAUUUGCUGUUUCAUAACUCUACCAGCCUCAGCUCCCCUGGCUGGAUCACAGAGAGAAAAAGAGGGAGCUCAAAUCCAUUCCUAAAAAAUAAAUAAUCUGAAACACUGGCUAAAAAAAAAGAUAAAAUCUGAAAUGUCCCACUUGACAUCCCCCCUUGGUUAGCACUUUAAUUUCGGAAAGCAAGGCAAACAGAAUGCAACACAGAAAGAACAAGUUAUCCUUUCACUCUUUGUUUGCUUCAUAAAUCAGAGAGCUCUAUAAAAUUACAGCAGAAAAAAGAAACAAUAAUAAUGCACUGUGAAUCUCUUUAACCAAUUAUCCCAUUUCCUGCCUUCCCAUUAAGCUGCACUCUGAGUUCCUGUAUUUGGAGAGAAAAUGCAUUUGUGUUGUACAGUAGGAGGCACGUUUAAAUGCAUUACAUGACAGCUGGUAUAUUAAUGUCACUUGUACUCAAUAACAAGAAUUACCUAUUGGAAAAUGUCUUGUAAAGUCACAGGCAAAUGGUUGGUUACUCUGUUGGCAAAUCAUCAAUUUUCUUCUGUUGUGAAACUCACAGAGUGCUGUGACCCUGUUGAGUUCAUACCAUAGGCUAUCUACUUGCAGCUGAAUAUGAUUGCCUUCCAAGUGUAGACUCUUAGCAGCGUGGCCGUGGGUGACUGGAAAGACCUAUUGUGGAUCCCUAUGUUCUUUCACAGAGAGCACUCCUCUAUCGGAAGGUAUCUACUUUUUGAGAUUCAUCCAUUGCACAUCAAGGUUGAAGAUAAAGGGACAUCAGCAGGCCAAGCACCAGUGAAGUUCUGGAUAGCAGGCUCAGCAGGUGUGCAGGUCAGUCGGUCCCUAUCUUCCUCAAUCUGAUGGGAUUUAUUCAAUUUCUAUUUAUAUUAUAGAAGUGAUUUCUAUAUUUGCAUCUGUCCUAUAGAUCACUGUAGCCAUCACAACAUAUGAACAUUUCAUGCAAAAACGUUCUUGUACUUUUUUUGGAUAGGUGGCCACUCCAACAUUGACAUUUUGCAUCCUGACCAUCUUGAAAUGACUAACCAUUUAAGAUGAAUGUCAAGAACAGGAGCUAAUUCAUAAUCCAUCAUAAUCUCCAUCAUCAACAUUAUUCUUAUCGCUAUGCAUUUGUCAGGUAACAACAUCAUUUAAGGGUACAAUUCUUUAAAAAUAACCAUCAACUUCCCAUAGAUUUCACUAUGACCUUUAUCGAAAGAAAGAGCUUUACACUUGGCUCUAAAAAAAUAUAUGAAUGAAUGGAUGAGUAAAUGGAAUUUCUGUAUGGAGGUUAUGACUAACACAGUCAUUCUGUAUUUGCUCUGGGAACUUUUAAUCUCUUAUAAUCAUUCCAUUACAAAGAACACUGUCUCUAGUUUAGCUAAUAAGAACAAGGGGGAGAGGGAGGGAGGAAGAAAAGAAUGAGAUAUGUUGUGCUUUGGUAGUUGAGAACAAACAGUAUUGGGGGAAGAAUGGGGUUGGAAUUUGAGCGAAAAUUAAAUCAGUGUUUCCCGGCAAGGAAGGAAUACCUGUGGGCCUGACAUCAUAGUUUCACUCCAGGUAAUUGGAGCAAACCGGAUGAAAGAAAUUCUAUUUUUGGAAGACCUUUUGACUGCAUAGGCUAAUGAUCGCUCUAAAUUAAACACCUUUGAAAAUACAUGCUCAUUUCUUUUUGAGUCAGUUUUGAAGUCCAUAAUAUUCAUGGGUUGUUUGCCAAAGAAUUUGAUCUGACUGAUUAUACCUUUGGAGACAACUUACUCUAUGGAGGGUGGGUGGGGAGGUGCAGUUGCAACAUGCAGCUGAAAUUUCUGUACAAAAUACAUAAUUUGUCGAUCCCUAUAGCUUACAGUGUGUUAUACUUGUUGAAAUUAUAUGGUUAAAAUAAUGCUAAAGAAAAGAACUCAGUCUGCAAGGAGUUUAUAGAAUUUUCUGCUUUAAAUAUUUUCUUUUUCUGAUCUCUGGUUUGAAGACUGUCCACUCUGAUAUAGAGGAAUGGUCAAAUUAAUUCAGUUCUAAAAGACUGCAAACAAGCUAUGAUAAAAAAUAUCAUUUCCUUAUGCCAUACAAUCCAGUUCAGUGUGGAUUUUAUACAGCUGUGUAGAAGGGGCCUCAUAUAAUCCAGUUCUAAGCAGAUAAUAUAAGAUUAUAAAUAUAAUAUAUCAUAUUUACUGUGGUAUAAUAAUACAGAACAAUAGAAUCUCUAAAAUCAGGACAGUAAAUAAAGAGCAACACUCUGAAAAAACCAGGGCCAGCUAACACCUCCCAACAAAGGAUUUGCCCAGGCAGGAAGCAGGUAGGCUUUGUAGCUGCAAGGCCAUUAAAUGUUAAUCAAGGUGGCUAAUUGCAGCAUUCAUACUUGCCGCACUGAGACUAUUAAUUGCUGUUCAACCUGGCCAACCAAGAAUUCCACAAGAUAUAAAGCGGCCAGGCUUUGAAGCAGCAAGGCUAUUCAGUGCUGUUCAAUCUGC